UNCCAACUGUGCCAUCUCCUCAGCCUUAU
This 29-nucleotide non-coding RNA is filed under the name Mus musculus (house mouse). The record is from RNAcentral. Lineage: Eukaryota; Metazoa; Chordata; Mammalia; Rodentia; Muridae.